Molecule: long non-coding RNA, 263 nt
Filed under: Ananas comosus (pineapple)
Lineage: Eukaryota; Viridiplantae; Streptophyta; Magnoliopsida; Poales; Bromeliaceae
Description: long non-coding RNA (ACOM_LNC000572)
Source: RNAcentral
UUUUUAGAAACUAACUUUCGUAAAUUUUCGAAAUUAUAAUAAAGUCCAUCAAACGGGCAUAAAAUGAACGGUCAAAAUCGAACGACGUCCUAAAAAAGAAUGAUCGGAUCCUUCAAUUCAAGAUCGGAGUUAUUGAUCUUUAUCUAGAUAGUAAAUAGAAUUUUCUAUCAAAAAUUCAACAAAUUCCGAUUCUUUUACACCGUUAAACUAGAAAGUAUUCCAUACCGGCCAUUAAAAAUUGUCAAAUUUAUGACCUCUUGAUC